This is a long non-coding RNA of Anolis carolinensis (green anole), 686 nucleotides long. RefSeq lists it as uncharacterized. The record is from RefSeq and is a predicted model, not a curated record. The transcript is spliced from 3 exons. Lineage: Eukaryota; Metazoa; Chordata; Lepidosauria; Squamata; Anolidae.
UGUAUACCUGGUUGCCAUGGAGACUAGGAGUUCCGAGGGGCCUCCAGGCAGUUGGCCCCACGAUUGCCUCCCUGGCCACCAUUACAGGCAGAGGACUCUCUAGGCAGGUCCAGCCCCAAAAGCACAGAGGACUCCUCCAAGACCAUGGGUCUCCAGGAGCUCCUGGAUGGCAUCCUCAGGGGGCUGAAAUCUCCCCACACUGACAUCACUCUGAAGUUCCUUGACCUGGCUGGCCGGCUGGGGCCCCUGCUGCACCAGGAAGACCGGGUCCUCCAAAGGCUCACCUGUCUGUCACCCGCCUUCUCUUCCACCAUGAGGCAGCCAAGAUCUGGAAGGCAGUCCUAGAAUGCUGAAGUAAUCACAAACAUAUACGGCUUGUAACAGAUACAACAAAAAUAGUAUACAAUGAAACGUACGUUUGUUAUAUUCACAAUACUGAUUAUUGUUUUUUUCUUUCACCAAACUUUCUGCAUUUUCACCCUUCAAAUGGAACAUCCGAAAGAACUAAAUCACAACAACACAUAUGAUUGUUUAUUUAAUAAAAUUAUGGGUAUAGCUUUUAAACAAUUGCAACACUACCAUUACUUUCUGUAAACCUGUGAAGGUAGCCCGUUAAAUGUGAUUUCUGAGCAACAAGUGUAUCACCACAACUUUAUCACCUGGCCUCAUUAAGUUGACUAUUAAAU